RNAcentral lists this small nuclear RNA (88 nucleotides) under Panthera leo (lion). RNAcentral's name for it is "U2 spliceosomal RNA (ENSPLOG00000019019.1)". It matches the Rfam family "U2 spliceosomal RNA". From Rfam's summary of the family: U2 is a small nuclear RNA (snRNA) component of the spliceosome (involved in pre-mRNA splicing). Complementary binding between U2 snRNA (in an area lying towards the 5' end but 3' to hairpin I) and the branchpoint sequence (BPS) of the intron results the bulging out of an unpaired adenosine, on the BPS, which initiates a nucleophilic attack at the intronic 5' splice site, thus starting the first of two transesterification reactions that mediate splicing. The record is from Rfam by way of RNAcentral. Lineage: Eukaryota; Metazoa; Chordata; Mammalia; Carnivora; Felidae. RNAcentral also lists the same sequence under 1 other name.
AUCGCUUCUCGGCCUUUUGGCUAAGAUCAAGUGUAGAUGUCCCACAUUGCAAAUAUGCAAUAAUUAUUAUUUUAACUACAUACUUCAC